RNAcentral lists this long non-coding RNA (6533 nucleotides) under Equus caballus (horse). RNAcentral's name for it is "lncRNA (ENSECAG00000052970.1)". The record is from RNAcentral. Lineage: Eukaryota; Metazoa; Chordata; Mammalia; Perissodactyla; Equidae.
CCCCCGCCAAGACAAUCACUGUUAACUAUGUAGGGUACUUCUAUAGACUCUUUUUGCAUUUUUUAUUUUUUAUUAUGGAAAUAUUCAAAUGUACACAAAAGUAGAAAUAGUAUAAUGAAGCCCAAUGUUCCCAUCAUCCAACUUCAACAAUCAACAUUGACAAUGCUUUGUAACAUAUUUGACAUCACAAUGUAUUUAGUGAUUUUAAAAAUUAUUUAUUAUUUUUAAAAAAUAAAAAAUCAUUAAAAACCCAAGCAGUAUGGAAAGAUAAAAAUAAAAAUCCUCUUCCUCUCCCAAGACCCUUAAUUCCAGUGCUCAGAAAUAACUUCACAGUUUUUAAUGUAUCAAUUUAGACAUUUUUUAUAAAUAGAUUAUAUAUUUUUUGCAAACUUAAAACAUUUUCACACACAAGAAAUCAGACCAUACAUAUUCAUGCUUGCUUUCUCCACUUACUAUAUCUUGGACUUCUUUAGAAGUAAAUACCUUGAGGUGGCCUGCAUUCUUCAACAGCUACAGUGUUCCACUGGAAAGCAUGCUUAACCCAGGAAAGUGGGGAGGGUGAGAGCUAGCUGAUUUGGAAGAAAUGUAGAUUCUGUCUGCAAAGCCAGAGGUUUACAAAGUGGGUUGUGUACACACCAAGGUAUGUGCAAAAUGGCCCAUUCAAAUGUGGGAAGAAAUAUUAUAACUUUCAUUAAUUUUUAUGUCAUCCCUUAAAAUUUUUGCAUAUUUUAAAACAUACAUAGUAACAGUGCAAUAAUAUAUUUGCAUAAUUUAUAAAUAAAUAUUUCCGUAUUAGGAGUGUGUACUCAAGAUUUUUAAGCAUGGGAUACAAGAUCAACAAAGUUGGAGACCACUAUCCCAAGCAGCUGUUUUGAGUGCCACAGAAAGCAGAGCUGCUUGUAAGAGUGAACGAGUAGGCUAACGACCUGUUCUCCGAAUCUCUGUGACCCAUUGUCCGUCGGUCCAAAAUAUUGUAACAGAUGUGAAACUCCAAGCCCAGUGAGAAUUGUCUAGAUAAGGAGAACCUAUUCCCGGCUGGGGACCCUAUGGAGGUACCCACCAUCUAAGCAGCAAUUCCCAAAACAUUUCUGCAGAACCCAAACUCUUCAGGGGGAAAAAGAGUGUAAGAGUUACCUGGUUGGGAGCACUACACAUUGUAAGGCUCUCUCAGAGAUCACCCUCAGUGUUCGUAGAGGCUCUAAGAGGCACCUCAUUUAAAAAAAUCAAUAAAUGAAAAUAAAAGCGAGCAAAAAACGUGUUUGAUUUUAACUCAGCAUUUCCAUUUAACUCUGGAAGCCAGACCCCCUUCCAACUUUUUCUUUCUGAUAUAUUUGUUUAAAAACCUGUGGAACUGGGGGCUGGCCCCGUGGCCGAGUGGUUAAGUUCGCGUGCUCCACUGCAGGCAGCCCAGUGUUUCAUUGGUUCGAAUCCUGGGCACGGACAUGGCACUGCUCAUCAAACCACGCUGAGGCAGCGUUCCACAUACCACAACUAGAAGAACCCACAACGAAGAAUAUACAACUAUGUACCGGGGGCCUUUGGGGAGAAAAAGGAAAAAAUAAAACCUUUAAAAAAAACCUAUGGAGGGGCUGGCCCCAUGGCCGAGUGGUUAAGUUCGCGCGCUCCGCUGCAGGCGGGCCAGUGUUUCGUUGGUUCGAAUCCUGGGCGCGGACAUGGCACUGCUCCUCAGACCACGCUGAGGCAGCGUCCCACAUGCCACAACUAGAGGAACCCACAACGAAGAAUACACAACUAUGUACCGGGGGGCUUUGGGGAGAAAAAGGAAAAAAUUUUUUUAAAAAUCUUUAAAAAAAAAAAAAAAACCUAUGGAACUGGAAUUUUGUGGAAAAACUUUAUAGAGAAACGUCGGUGAGCAGGGUGCUGCAGGAAAAUACCAUCUACAAAAUAUUGAACAUCCACUUUUCCUUAUGAAAUAGUCAAAUAAAAAAUACCAUAGGUGAUUUAGCUCAAGAAAACACUUGUCCACACACACAAAGAAACUAGGGCCUCCCCAUUUAAUUUCUAAUUUGAGCUUUCUGAAUCCAUUUCUUCUGCCAGGAGUUAUAAUUUGUUGCUUACACGCUCCAAAGCUAAGCAGUUCUUUUCCCAUUUGUGCAAAACGUGGUGGGUAUGUUUUAUAUUCUAUAAAUAUAAGUGCAUAUUCGAUUUUGAAAGAAAAUUUCUCCCCGGGGGUAAGGAGAGGAGAUGUGCGGCCAGGGGAUUUAGAAUCAGAGAUGUUAAAAGUUAGAAGUAUGGGGUUGUAAUGAGACUAACACUUGUGCUUAUCUUGUAAAACUAGCUUCAUUGCCUAUUUACAGAGCACACACCCUUUAUAAAAAUACAAAUGGUUAUUGAACGGUUAUUACAGCCAAGUUCAAGGACAUGGAGAUUAAGGAAGUGCAGUUCUGUAGAAGAACCAAGAGGGAAAGGACAAUCUGGGCACAGGGAAAAACAUACCCACUGGCCUGAAAGUACAACAAAGAGUGAAACAGUCAAGGAACUGCCCUAUAAUCACAUCAUGUCUAAAGGCUUGUGACUAGUUAGAACAAAAUUUACCAAAACUCCAAAUUCAGCUCAAGCAUCUCUCCUUUGGGAAGUCAUCUUGGCUCACAUAUGCAUCUCCUCUGAGCUCCUAGCCACGAGGUAUUUGUAUAUUUUACAGCCCAAAUCCUUCUGUAUAAUAAUUACUGGUCUCCUUCUUUCCACUGGACUAUGAGCUCCCUGAGAGCAUGGAUUGCAGUCCCUGGAGAGCGUGAGAACAAAAUGCAGUUGGUUGAUAAGGGCAGGGGAAUCGAAGUAGCCACUGAGCAUGGAUGAUUCUUUCAAGAGCUCAGCUUAGAUGAGGCAGGAUUCCAUUGCAAUGUGGCAUUUGCAAUAUCAGAAGGAUGCAUAGAAAGCCAGACAGCAGAGAUCAGAGGGACAGACACCUCACUUAGCACGGGAGGAGGUUAGAUGUCCUGAUCCGGAGUUUAUGGUAGUCAUGAUACAGAGGUCAAGGUCUGAAAAGCCAAGUCCCUUUCACAACUCCCAAAUUGUUGGGCCAACAUUCUCAAGAACAAUAACCAAGUAUGACAUCUGCCAAAGUACAAGCCAGCUCUUCGGUAAAUGAAUAAAAUGCCAAGCAAAAAAGAAAAACCAUUAAAAAAAUAUACAAAGGAGUCUGAAUGGCUCUGUUUACAUACGAUAAAAUCGAGAGUAAAAAAUAUUACCUUUCCCCAAAGAAAAAUUAGCUCUCAGUGCCCUGUAUAUAACCAUUUGACAUUAUUUAAAAUCCUAUUUGACCUAUUUAACCUCUCUUCAUCCUUCAGAUUUGGGCUCCAGCACCACUUUCUUGGGGAAGCGUUCCCUGAACUGCCUGACGAGGUCCCACCUCCUCUCUCAGUCCCAUCCCUGCAUGACCAGCUCUUGGAUCACCAAAGGCCUCCCCCUCAUAGCACUUGUCAUGGUUGGAAUUGCACAUAUAUUCACUUGAUUAUCUGAUUACUAUUUGUCUCACCUACCAGACCGUAAGCUUCAGGAGGGCAGGCACAUUGUUAAGUUCACUACUGUAUUCCUAUCAUCUAGCAGAGGCCCUGGCACAACCAAGUGCUUAAGAAAUACCUGUUGAAUGAAUAACUGAGGUAACUAGUCCAUGCAAAUCAACAAUAUGCAUACCAUAGAAGCCAAAGAAUUCCAAACAGCCUCUGAUAAGAUUUUUCAGGAGAUAAGGGAAAAAAUUAACAGGUUAAUUCUCUUAAUCAGAGGUGCUACUAAGAAAUGAAAACUACAAUCACAAAACUAAAUAAUGAAAAAUUAAUCACAGUACAUUGACACUUUAAUUAAUAAAAACUGGCCUUUUGUGUUUAGAAAUACAAAGGCGGCUAAAUCCCACGCCCAAAAGGCAGGGGAGAAAAGAAUAAUAAAAAAUACAUUUAGAAUGAAGAAUAAUAUUGCUUAAUUUGCUCAGUAUUACCAAAUACUUCCAAAUACCAAUUACAAAGGCUUCACUUUUCCAAAAUGAUUUCUAAAACUCAUGGAAUGGAAGCACUUUUUCUACAAGACAACCUACACUAUAUCAAAUUAUUCUAAUUUCUUUACACUGAGAUCAAACACUUCCAGGAUACCUUUUUUAACAUACAUUUCCACCUCUGGGGACCAUUAUGAUUUUAACAAGAGCGAGCAGAAUCUAGUUUACUGUACUGAGCUACUUAACAUAUAUUCUAAUAUGGGACACAUAGGUUAAAUGUGGAUAACCUGAUCACUCUCCCUGACAUAUUUUAACAGAAAAUAAACAUUUUCCUUAAACAGUUAGCAAGCUCCACAAAAACUAGUGAGCAAGGAAGGAUCUAACAGCCUGCUUGCUAAGAUUGCUGAAUGACUGAGAGCUCAGGCAUUCACCCUAGCAGUUGAAAUCAAUUAAUCAUUCAUUGUAACUGGAGCAGAAUAUAAUUAAUUAUGUUAGCCUGACUGGUUCAAGCCUAAUUCCGCUAAAAAAAAUCAUUACAAAAAAUCAUUAUGAAUAUAGGCCAUUAUCAUGAAUUAUUGCUAAAGUAAAAAGUCAUGAAUGAGUUUCUAUACAAAUUUGAUCCACAUUUUAAAAACUUUUAUGGAAAAUUUUGAAUGUAAUCACAGGUAGAGAAUAUAGUAUAAUGCAUCCCCAAGUACCCAUCAUGCAGCUUCAACAAUUAUUAACUCACAGUCAAUCUUGUUUCAACUAUACGCACACACACUAGCCAACUCCAACUCCCCAAUUAUUUUUAAGCAAAUCCUAAACACCAUUAUCAAUUCAUUUCUAAGUAUUUCAAUUUGCAUCUCUAAAAGUGCUCCUUUUAAAAAUGUAACCACCGUAUACUUAUCACACCUAAAAAUUGUAAAAACCCUUAAAAUCAUCAAAUAUCCAGUUAGUUUUCAUAUUUCCCCAAUGGUCUCAUUUUUUAUUUGUUCAAAUGAAGAUUGAAAUAAGUCCAUAAAUUGUAUAGACUUAAGCCCUUAAGUCCCUUACAUCUUUUUUAAUCCAUCUUUUUCUUUUUUUCUUGCAAUUCUGUUGUUAAAGAAACAGGGUCAUUCGUCCUGUAGUUUUCCAGUCUGGAUUUUGUGGUAUCAUUUAACAUGUUCCUUUGUUUCCUGUAUUUCUAGUAAAGAGGUGGUUAGGUCUAGAGGCUUAAUCAGGAUCAGAUUCAACUUUUGGCAGGACUCUUUCAUAAGCGGUAUGUGUAUUUCCUUUAGGAGGAACAAAAAGUUUGACUGCAACUUGUUUGUGAAGUUAGAAGUCACUGGUGAUCACGGGGCGGGGGUGGGGGGCGGUAUAAUGGUGAUAUUCUAUCAUUCCUCUUUAACUUAUUAGCUGGAAUAUUUCUUUAAGAGCAUAUUCCAAAGGGAAUUAUGAUUUUAUAAACUAUUAUUAUUAGCUCAUAGAGUAAAACACAAUAUGAGUUUCAAUCUCUUGCAGAUGUUAUCCCUUACUGAUGCACUGAUGCUAAAAUUAUCUCAGCUUUGGCCAGUAGACACUUGUUCAAGAUGCCUCCUGAAUCCUUUUCAACAGACUUCUAAUAGCUUCUUUGCUUUCUGGUAUGACAGAGUGUUUUCUAGGCUCUUCUUGUACGCUUCUUUCCCUAGACCUGGAAUUAGCUAUUUAUCCAAGAAAGUCUGGUUUCUUUGAAGAAAAUGGUAUUAGAGACAAUAAUCAGGGCACUACAUUUGACUUUUAUUAGAAUUAUGUCCAAAGCUCAUAAAGUCAGUUAAGCAGGAGUCUUCCACUAUUGUUUCUAAUAAAUUCAUGUAGCUGCAUACAUGUGAAUUUUUAAGCGUGGGGUUCUCAGAUUAAAAAAAAUUUAGCUAUAUGAUAAUAUGCGAACAGUGGAAGUAUUCUUACAUGUUGAUGGUAGAAGUAUCUAUCUGGAAGACAACAUCAUAAUUUUUAUCAAUGACCUUUAAAAAACCUUUAAUCUAACAACUCCACUUUUAGGAAUUCAUUUUAUUAUUACGCUUAGAAUUUCCCUUCUAGGACUGUUUAAAAUAAUGUAUAAUCUGAAAACCUAAGCAUCCAAACAAGAAGGAAUUGGUUAAUUUUAAAAAUGUACAAUAUAGCCACAGAAGGAAAUAUUUAGUCAUUAAAAUGAUGUAGAUACGAUAUCAAUGUAGUGUUAAAGGUGGGUUACAAAAGUGUGCAUAUGCCUUUAGCCACAUGCAUAGAAAAAAGUCUUGAAGGCCAAAUCCCAAAAUCUUAAUGCAAACUGGGCUCACGUUUCUACUGCUGGUUUAGGAUUUGGCUUUCCUGGGUCCGCCAAGUCAGAUACUACUCUUCCAUCUGCUUUCCAGUUUCCAAAAUUUUGUUCUUAUUAUCUUCUCUUCAGUAUUCCUUGUUCCUUGUUGGAUUAUGCUUUGUUCUUUCCCCAGUCACUGUGAUUUUAGUGGAGAUUUUAGGAAAGAGCAAAGGCUAACAAGUACUUUGCUCAACUCUCCAUUUUUACCUAGCAUCCCAUUGCUUUUUAUAGGAGAGAACAGACAUUCUGAAGAGUUUAUCAACUAUAAAAUAAAUGAAUUUCUACUGAAAU